Long non-coding RNA from Cyanistes caeruleus (blue tit), 2536 nucleotides. RefSeq lists it as uncharacterized. NCBI's taxonomy places the organism in Eukaryota, Metazoa, Chordata, Aves, Passeriformes, Paridae. The record is from RefSeq and is a predicted model, not a curated record.
AAAAACUGUGGAGCUUCUGUUACACAAGACAAUGCCCCUGACUUCUCUCAGAACAACUCUGGAAAGCUAGUGGCAUGCUUAAGCACAGCUGUAGUGGGAUGCCUGCUAGUAAAACUCCCUGGCCCCGGGAUUCACAUACCUGGUCAAAUGCUGCCAAACCAAGACUUGUGAAUGUGUUACAACUUAACCCAAACAAAAAUAGAGAGCAUAAUCUUUGUGUCUGUAGAGAGAAUGUACUUCAAGCUACUGCCAGCAGAGAGUCCCAUUGCUUUCAUAUUGAGAAGAAAACAAUUUAGCACAAUCCCCAAAAUCACGGAACGAACAGCAAGCCACUUUUAAUUACUUUAAUAGGGUCAUAGACAGAAGCCCUCAGCAGCAGCCACCUGCAAGUGCUUUCCCUCACCCUCAACUCAUUUUUUUUACAGUAUUUCCAAACUGUAUGUCAAGUUUCAAAAAAGGAAGCUCAGAAGUAUGGCUUGGACUUCCACAAAGAGGCUGGCACAUUUCUCAACAUUUCAGCUUGGCUUAAUGAGAACAAAGUGAAACAGUUUAACUGUAAUCAAGUUAACUUGCAAGCCAGCCCCUACAUCGCAUUGUAAAAUUAAAGGGCUCCCGAGCAUCUGGCCUGCACUCCUACUACAUAUGCUUACCCCAGGAGCAAUGUGCUUAGUCUGAGGAGACAUCAGGCGUCUGUCAAGCAUGUCAGCCUCACUCCAAGCAGGCCAGCCCUUCCAGCAGCAGCAACACUUCUUACAGGAGCGAAACCUCCGACGCAAAGCAGCGCACCAGCGGAAACUUCAGCGGAUCAGCCCACACUGACCAUUAUUGCGAGUAGCUGUACUUCUGAGGCCUGGUUUAAAGGGCCCAGCUAUUGUCUAUACGGAGCAAGACUGCUCGCUGGCCGUUUCUCUCAGCUCUUGAUCUGAUUCAGUCCCUACGUUAGGGACAGCUCAGCAGAGAGCCUGUCACCAUCAAUUACCAAGGAGGAGUGGGAGGGCUCCGUGCUCAUGGUGACGCCAGCCGCUGUAAGGACGAAGCCUGCACACUUGCUGGAGUAACAUCACACUCUGUUCAUCUCAGAUGUAUGGCUUGCAACAUGCAUGGCCACCUGGAACAUACAACUGCCGCGCGGCCAGGAACAGGAAAGGCGUCUGAGCAUUAACACCGCAUAAUCGAUUUACUGAUGCUUGUGGAUACAGCUAACUUGAAGAAACUGGCUUGCAAAUUGUUGCUCCUGAGACCAUCAGCUACAUUUGAGGAGUGGAUUAUUGCAUCGUCGUGGCUGUUGAUCUUCCUGAAUUCAAGAAGACACUGCUUUGCAAAUAUAAGUUUAGUGGAAAAUGAGGGAUUCGAGCUGUCUAAAUACACUCCUGUCUUUUCACUACAUUUACUGCAAGAUUCACCAAGUAAGAUCAAUGCACAACAGCAGUUCACAGUUAAGUAAAAGGUUAGGCAAGCAGGAUGCACAGAGUAUCUACAACUUGAUUUUAGUUUCUGCAGAGGAGAAGCUUUAGCACUCAAUGAGAUUUUAAGAUGUCACUGAGAGAUGUGUUAGGAAAUUUACUGGAAUCUGAGUGCAGCACAAAAAUGCAAACAUCACAUAAACCAGCUGAACUAAAGGUUUAGAUAAAUUCACACUACUGCUAGGAGCAGAGCUCUUGCUCCUCUCCUGCCCCCAUCCCUGGUACCCCCAGCAGGUGCUUCCCUCCCCUCUACCAUCCAGCACUUGUCAGACCCUUCCAGGAGGACAGUGACACACCUGGCUUAUUUGGAAACUAUUUGUUUGUUUUAAGGAGGUUUUAUUCAAUCAUUAAGAUAAAAUUGAUAAAGAAAACAAAAGCAGGGAAAAGGAUACUGGUAGUGGUGGGGCAAUUCCAUCACUGCAAAGCCCUACAAAAUAACCCACCAAGGGUGUACAUCCCUUGUCAGCUUAAUUUCUGUUUUGAAAUGCAUAGCGAUAGCUACGCAAUGCAAAGCUGUAUCAGUUUUAAAGCAGAAAAGAGAUCUACUUCAAAAGCAUCUCACAUUAAAAAUAUUAAUAAUUAACCACUCCCACACAUAUACUUAAGCAAACAGAAAAAAUUAUGUCCUUUAAGAUACAUAUAACAUUUAAAUGAAGGGGGGUUUUUUAUUACAGAUAAUUCAUGUCCCCAUUUUUCCACACUAAAAUACAAAUACAAAUUUAACUCCAUCCACAGUGAGCAAGGCAAACCCUUCCAUUCGUGUACUUUGAUUUUAGACUUAGAUUAUCUACAGACAAUGUUAGCUUACUGCAAUCUCCUUCAAUGUUAAUUCUUCUGAAAAUGUUCUUAUUGGCGUGAUCUGAAGCCCACAAGGCUCUCUUUGGUUGGCUUUAGAUUAGGCCCUUACAUAACUGCAACAUCUGGGCCCCAUUUCAACUAUGCAAAUUCCAGCAGACACAAUUUCUGUGUGUAUAUAUUAGUUUUUGUUUAACAGACACCUGUAAUUUGGAACAGCUAAUACAUAUUUUCCAAGAAAAUAAUGAAAUAAAUACUGCAAUUUUGUGUGAAAUACA